Paramuricea clavata is the source of this 99-nucleotide non-coding RNA. NCBI's taxonomy places the organism in Eukaryota, Metazoa, Cnidaria, Anthozoa, Malacalcyonacea, Plexauridae. The record is from the annotation of a GenBank genome assembly.
AGACUAUGAAGACUAUAGUCAUGAUUACGAAGACUAUAGUAAAGACUAUGAAGACUAUAGUCUUUAGUAUAGUCUUUGCAGUCAUGACUAUAGUCUUCA